Molecule: non-coding RNA, 45 nt
Organism: Schistosoma rodhaini
Lineage: Eukaryota; Metazoa; Platyhelminthes; Trematoda; Strigeidida; Schistosomatidae
Source: Rfam
AUCCAACAGACGAGUCCCAAAUUGGACGAAACGUGCGUCCUGGAU